GACCGGCCACACUGGGUACUGAGUACACGGCCCAGUACUCCUACGGGUAAGCAGCAGUGGGGUAUAUUGCACAAUGGGCGAAAGCCUGAUGCAGCGACGCCGCGUGAGGGAUGACGGCCUUCGGGUUGUAAACCUCUUUCAGCAGGGAAGAAGCGAAAGUGACGGUACCUGCAGAAGAAGCGCCGGCUAACUACGUGCCAGCAGCCGCGGUAAUACGUAGGGCGCGAGCGUUGUCCGGAAUUAUUGGGCGUAAAGAGCUCGUAGGCGGCUUGUCACGUCGGUUGUGAAAGCCCGGGGCUUAACCCCGGGUCUGCAGUCGAUACGGGCAGGCUAGAGUUCGGUAGGGGAGAUCGGAAUUCCUGGUGUAGCGGUGAAAUGCGCAGAUAUCAGGAGGAACACCGGUGGCGAAGGCGGAUCUCUGGGCCGAUACUGACGCUGAGGAGCGAAAGCGUGGGGAGCGAACAGGAUUAGAUACCCUGGUAGUCCA
RNAcentral lists this ribosomal RNA (487 nucleotides) under Streptomyces sp. JMCACA2. RNAcentral's name for it is "bacterial SSU rRNA". It matches the Rfam family "Bacterial small subunit ribosomal RNA", at positions 302 to 797 of the family's 1533-position model. Lineage: Bacteria; Bacillati; Actinomycetota; Actinomycetes; Kitasatosporales; Streptomycetaceae. The record is from RNAcentral.